UGUUGUGUGGCGGAGGAAGAGGACCUGCUGCUCCUCUCUGCUCCCACGACCUAGUGUUAGUGUGUGUUAAUGGUCGCCGUACUCGCGUGUGCUAGGUACUCCACUACACCUGCCCUUCAGUCUCCUCAAUCAACGGAGGCAACCAUAUCGCAGAGACGAACCCAGGCUUACCAACACAAGGGGUAACUCCAGGCCUACCAACACAAGGGGCGACUCUAGGCCUACCAACACAAGGGGCGACUCUAGGCCUACCAACACAAGGGGUGAUUACAGGCCUACCAACCCUUACAUCAGUUGUGCAGUAGAAUGUAUAAGAGAAGACAGACUCCCAGCGGUACCAACCGUAAUGUAAAUACUGAAAGGCCCCACAACCUUGAAGGUCCCCAGGCAUACCAACCUUAAGGAAGAGUUCUAGACUUACCAAGGAAAUAAGCAGACUCAGGACUACCAAUCACAGGGAGAGAUUGAAGGAUCAGGCCUACCAAUACCAGAUAUAUUAAUAAAUUCCCAGACUACCAAUAUUAAUGUCUAGAAAAUCAUCAGUUUCGUCCACUAUCAAAUGAAAAUACCUAAAAUAAUAGUGAAUAAAAAUAACUUACAUAGAGAUAAAAGAUAUUAACAAACUGAGUUGAAAAUCUCCGGUAAAGAAAGAAAACGUAAACAAACAGAGCUACAACA
Homarus americanus (American lobster) is the source of this 678-nucleotide long non-coding RNA. RefSeq lists it as uncharacterized. The transcript has 2 exons. NCBI's taxonomy places the organism in Eukaryota, Metazoa, Arthropoda, Malacostraca, Decapoda, Nephropidae. The record is from RefSeq and is a predicted model, not a curated record.